Molecule: RNase P RNA, 283 nt
Filed under: Candidatus Daviesbacteria bacterium
Lineage: Bacteria; Candidatus Daviesiibacteriota
Description: RNase P RNA component class A
Rfam family: Bacterial RNase P class A
About the family: Ribonuclease P (RNase P) is a ubiquitous endoribonuclease, found in archaea, bacteria and eukarya as well as chloroplasts and mitochondria. Its best characterised activity is the generation of mature 5'-ends of tRNAs by cleaving the 5'-leader elements of precursor-tRNAs.
Source: RNAcentral
CUAGGAAGAAGGAUGAUUAGGCUGAGAGAAAUCGAAGUCAGGAAAGUCCAGACAGCAUAGAGUAGGGUGCCCUGCGUAAGCAGGGGGUCGUAAGAUCCAGUUAGAGCAACAGUGACGAAUCCCGAUGAAAAUCGGGGGUGAAACGGGCAAUCCUCCCCGCUGCAAUCCUAGAAUCAACAGGACUACUCGUCCAACCUUGAUUUAAUCAAGGUAUGUUGAAAUCAGGAGCAUUAGAUAAAUUAUCAUCUCGAAACAGAAUCUGGCUUAUUAGCUUCCUAGGCAC